UAGAUACAGUCAUCCUGACUCAAGAACGUCCUUGGCUUGUAUCUGUGUGCACGCCUCUAGACUGUCUCCGUUUACUGAAGUGUGUGAUGGGCCUGGGGGAAUCAGCCCAGUGAGCAAGCCGCUUGUGGUAUAAGCAGGAAGGCCUGAAUUCAGAUCCUUGGAGCCCACAAGACACCGUAUGCAGGACUGUGUCUGUAUUCCCAGUGCUUCUGUGAUGAGGACCUCCUGAGAGAGCCAUGAGAGCCACCAGCAUGAACCAGGAAGCUGUCUCUUAAAGGAGCUGUGCCUCUGCUUGCCUCUAGCAAACAGAACCCAAUGGAGAAAAUGCUACUACCAAGAAGCUGUGCUUGACUCUGCUCUUUUGUGUUUAGAAUCUCCUUUUAAGCCUUUGUCAGCUUUUAUGUGGCAAUUCUUGCCCUACGUUGGACAUCACAUGUAGUUGGAUGUUUAAUGUCCCGUCUGGUCCCCUAGGACCAGUUUCUCUCCAGCCUGUUGGUUCCCACAGCUGCUUACUAAAUAAUCAUCCUGAGACUUAAAGUUAUUAAGUUAUUUGGCCAAUGGCUCAGGCAUAUUACUGACUAGCUCUCACAAUUAAAUCAACCCAUUUCUAUUACACUAUAUUUUACCACAAGGCUCAUGGCUUGCUACCUCAUAUCUUGCUUCCCCUGGUGGCUACAUGGUGUCUCUCUGACUCUGCCUUCUUACUCUCCAUAACUCUGUUUGGAUUUCCUGCCUACCUGUAGUCUGCCUGGCCAUUGGUCAAAGCAGCUUUAUUUAUCAACCAAUAAAAGCAGCACAUUCGCAGCAGACAGAAGCUCAUCCAUAUCAGUGCAACAUCUGGAGCAGAAACCAAAAUCAAAGUUGGAAAGUCAUCUGGUGGAAGUCGUCUGGUGAGCCGCUUAUCUGCAGAGCCUGCAGAGAGCUGCUGAAUUCAUGGUGAGACUGGGGGAAGUGAAGGAGAUGAAGAGAAGGUACACAUAAAAGCCACCCUGGAUUUGGAGAAAGCAGCUGCAGGGACCUCUUUCUAAGGCCCCUUUGCUCUUGGUUUGGACAGAGGCCAAUAAGGAAAUCAACAUUUCCCAUGUUGGGGGGGGGGUCCUUACUCAAUAGGAAACCUCUAUAAGUUCCUUAAAGUUCAAUUCAAGCCCUGCCUAUCCCACAUGACUUUCUGGGUCCAGCGCACACUCUAGGAGCUUUUUUUCCAGUCCUCUGACCUUCUCUACUCCUUUUCGCUCCACUGGUUAUUGUCCAUCCUUGUAAUCAUCUGCAUGUCUCUUUCUUGUAAUCAUCUGCAUCUCUCUCUCUUGUAAUCGUCUGCAUGUCUCUCUCUUGUAAUCAUCCACAUGUCUUUUUCUCACCUAUUGGGAGCAUUUUGGCAUCAGAAUAAUGCAUUCUUGUUUGCGAGUUUCUGUCCAGCAUGUGGCUUGUAACAGGAACUCAAAGUAUAUUUAUUGGUCUGGAUUCUAAACUUUAAAAUGGCCACUUUAGUUCUGUUUACUUUUACUUGUCAACUUAAAACUGUCUUUAAAAAUAGUCUGUGCUUUAAUAAAAUCCAUUAAAAAUGG
Long non-coding RNA from Mesocricetus auratus (golden hamster), 1565 nucleotides. RefSeq lists it as uncharacterized. The record is from RefSeq and is a predicted model, not a curated record. The transcript is spliced from 2 exons. Lineage: Eukaryota; Metazoa; Chordata; Mammalia; Rodentia; Cricetidae.